GACAGAGGAGGCGAGCGUUAUCCGGAGUUAUUGGGCGUAAAGGGCACGUAGGCGGCUGGUCAAGUCUGGGGUUAAAGACCACAGCUUAACUGUGGGGGGGCCUUGGAAACUGACCGGCUGGAGUUGGGCAGGGGUUGCGGGAAUUCCCGGUGUAGCGGUGAAAUGCGUAGAUAUCGGGAAGAACACCUGAGGCGAAAGCGCGCAACUGGGCCCUAACUGACGCUGAGGUACGAAAGCUAGGGGAGUGAAUGGG
RNAcentral lists this ribosomal RNA (253 nucleotides) under uncultured bacterium. Its description in RNAcentral is "partial 16S ribosomal RNA". It matches the Rfam family "Bacterial small subunit ribosomal RNA", at positions 524 to 776 of the family's 1533-position model. The record is from RNAcentral.